This 253-nucleotide ribosomal RNA is filed under the name uncultured bacterium. Its description in RNAcentral is "partial 16S ribosomal RNA". It matches the Rfam family "Bacterial small subunit ribosomal RNA", at positions 524 to 776 of the family's 1533-position model. The record is from RNAcentral.
UACGGAGGGUGCGAGCGUUGUCCGGAAUCACUGGGCGUAAAGGGCGCGUAGGUGGCUUCUCAAGCGCGCGGUGAAAGCCCGGGGCUCAACCCCGGGUCGGCCGUGCGGACUGGGAGGCUCGAGCACUGUAGGGGCGGGUGGAAUUCCGGGUGUAGCGGUGGAAUGCGUAGAGAUCCGGAAGAACACCGGUGGCGAAGGCGGCCUGCUGGGCAGUGGCUGACGCUGAGGCGCGACAGCGUGGGGAGCAAACAGG